Hordeum vulgare subsp. vulgare (domesticated barley) is the source of this 124-nucleotide non-coding RNA. NCBI's taxonomy places the organism in Eukaryota, Viridiplantae, Streptophyta, Magnoliopsida, Poales, Poaceae. The record is from Rfam.
GAAGUAAUCCCUCCGUCCGGAAUUACUUAUCACAAAAAUGAUAUAAAAGGAUGUAUCUAGAACUAAAAUACAACUAGAUACAUCCAUUCCUACGACAAGUAUUUCCGGACGGAGGGAGUAGUAA